Molecule: ribosomal RNA, 468 nt
Filed under: uncultured bacterium
Lineage: Bacteria
Description: partial 16S ribosomal RNA
Rfam family: Bacterial small subunit ribosomal RNA
Source: RNAcentral
GACGAACGCUGGCGGCGUGCUUAACACAUGCAAGUCGAACGGAAAGGCCCUGCUUUUGUGGGGUUCUCGAGUGGCGAACGGGUGAGUAACACGUGAGUAACCUGCCCUUGACUUUGGGAUAACUUCAGGAAACGGGGGCUAAUACCGGAUAGGAGCUCCUGCUGCAUGGUGGGGGUUGGAAAGUUUCGGCGGUUGGGGAUGGACGCGCGGCUUAUCAGCUUGUUGGUGGGGUAGUGGCUUACCAAGGCUUUGACGGGUAGCCGGCCUGAGAGGGUGACCGGCGACAUUGGGACUGAGAGACGGCCCAGACUCCUACGGGAGGCAGCAGUGGGGAAUAUUGCACAAUGGGCGGAAGCCUGAUGCAGCAACGCUGCGUGCGGGAUGACGGCCUUCGGGUUGUAAACCGCUUUCGCCUGUGACGAAGCGUGAGUGACGGUAAUGGGUAAAGAAGCACCGGCUAACUACGUG